GGGAGGCAGCACACUGGGGUCAGGAGUGGAGAUACUUAGGCUCCCCAGAGAAAUUAGUCACAAGUCUUAUCCCUUCAUCUCCAUUUACAGCCAUUUAUUUGGGAGCAACAUACUUUAAAUGAGUGAUAAACAAAAUGUCUCCCCACAGCCCCCACCCCAGCAUGUGUUCUGAAGUUCACAGGAAGGCUUCUCCUCAUUUGCUUUGGGGCCCGCAGGCUGCCUGCUAACAGCUGGGUCUUCCCAUGAACAAAUUAGACAGUUAAUGUUCCAGGAUGAAGAGGGCUUCGGGGAACAGAAUCUGCCGUUUAUUUGACUUGCUUCAUUAGACACAGUGCCAUCAUACCAAAAUUAGAAAAAAGAAGGAACUCAGCGGAAAUCAGCUACACAAGAAGAACCUCUCAGUUCUGAGAAUUCACAUUAACCAGUGAUUAAGAAAUAUUAAAAAGGGCUGAUAGUCCACUACGUUAUCAAGUUCAAAGCCUAAGAAAUAUUGAACAUUUCCACACAUGAAUGUGGGUACUAUGUUUAAUUUGAGAAUGGCCAACUGUCCUCGAAGUCUCAAUCUCUUUGGAGCCUACCAGCUCCGAGAGAAGUUUGAGGAUGCUGCAAAACCCUCCCCUGCAAAUCCAUCUACUCCUCCCACUUCUAUCCUAAUGGGUAUAGUUCUUGGCUGUGCUGAGGAUCUGUAAGGCACCAGAUGUGAAAGUAAGGAAGAAAGAUGGAUGUGGAAGAAAGUCACUGCCCAGAGAAUAAGGAGACCUGGAUUCUAAUCUCAGCUCUGCCAUUAACUAGCUUCUAUACUUUAUCCAAGAAAGAAUAAAUCAUUUCCAAAUAUUUUCAAAGAUGAAACUAUGGCUCAAAAGGGAAUAAGAGAUCAAGGCAAGCAUGGACAUCUUGUACGUGGAAGUGCAGACCAGAACUUGUAUCACAGCCAGUCAUAUCUGGUGCUUUCCAUGCUACUUUUACAUACAUGUAUCCUUAAAUUUGAUCCUCUUCUAGUUUAGUCUAAACUCUUUACUUUGUAACUUCCAAACCUAAAAGGUGCAGCAGACAUUGACAAUCUUAAUUCAUUUGUCAGGUCAUUUGGUUUCUUGGUUUCCUAAGGGACUGUAUCCUUCCUGCCCUGCUAAUGGGGAGACUUUUUGUUUUUUGUUUUCUGUUUUCCUUAAUAAGUGAGGCCAAGUGCUGUGUGUAACUGUGGGGUGGGCAAAAUUAGGAUUCCUGAAUCACUUCACUUUUUGUUGCCUUUCUCUUGGGAGAAUGGUUACCAUUGCAGAGAAGCAUAGUUAAAAUUGCUUUUGUGUUUCAUAAACGAAUUCAUACUUAGAUGUCAUUGACCAACAACUAAAUAGUAUAUCAGAGAUGAAAGGCAUCCUAGAGAUGACCAAAUCAAGCUCUUCAUUACUCAAAGGAGAAAAAAAUCCAGAAAGUGGAUGACAUAUGUUGAACUAGUGAUGGAAGUAGAACAGGGUAGUGUAUUUUCUGCCUCUUAAUUCUUCAUUUUUUACACUAAACCAGAUAUUAGGUAUAUGACUAGGAAGAUACGUGAGGUAAGGAGCAGAGGGUUUGGCUCCAAACUCAUCAUGUAGUCAUCCUCCUCCAAGCUCUGAGAGCUUCUCUCACAUGUUAAUUCAGAGGCAGUAACAAAAGAAUUAAUGCUCCUGAAGGUUUCUCAAUUUUAUCAUCUGGAAAGUGGAGUGAACCUUUGCAGAGUCCUUCUGAAGAGGGCUGACCUUGGACUGCACUAGGUUAUAUUCAUUUGCUAUUACUCAGCAAUAAAAAGUAAAUGCAACAAUAUAAAUGAAUCUUAAAAACAUAAUAUGGAAAGAAAGCAGCCAGACACAAAAGAAUACCUCCUGUUUGGUUUCAUUACCAUAAAACCUAGAACAGACAAAUGAAUAUACUAUGAUUUUAAAAAGAUCAUUAUGAUCAGAAAGCACUUGCCUGUUACAGGAAGGAGAUGGGGAUUGACUGGAAAGGGGCAUGAGAAAACUGUAUGAAAUAUUAUAUAUGGUUUAUAUCUUGUUUGGGGGUGGAUACAUAGCUGUGUAUAAUUGUCAACAGUCAUUGAACUGAGCACUUAAAAUCUCUGCAUUUUAGUGUAUGUAAAUUAAUUUUUAAAAUUAUUUUAAAAGAAAAGUAAAAGGAUAGAAAAAGAUAUACCAUGAAAACAGCAAUCAUACAGAGUUGGGGCAGCUAUACUAAUACUAGAUAAAAUAGUCUGUAAGACAAAAACUUAUUAGAGAUGAAGAGGGACAUUUUAAGUGAUGACAAUUUAUUCAAUAAGGAAGAUGUAACAAGAAUAACAAGUAUGUAUGUACCUAAUAACAAAAUCCCAAAAUACGUAAAGCAACAACUGACAAAAUUGAAGGGAAAGAUAGACAAUUCAACAAUAAUAGUUGAGGACUGGAAUACCUCACUUCCAACAAUAAAGAGAAAAACUGGGCAGAAAACCAACUGGGAUACAGAGACUUGAAAAACAUUGUAAACCAAGUAGAAUCAACACACAUCUAUAGAAAACUCCACCCAACAACAGCAGAAAAUACAUUCUUCUGAAGUGCAUACGGAACAUUCCACAGAAAUAUAUGAUGUGCUAGGCCAUAAAAUAAGCCACAAUAGAUAAUAAAAGACUGAAAUCAUGUAAAUUAGGCUCUAUGCCCACAGAUUUAGAAAUCAAUAACUAAAAGAAAUGUGGGGAAUACACAAAUAUGUGGAAAUUAAGCAACACGUUCAUAAAUAACCAAUAGGUCAAGGGAAAAAAAUAUCACAAGGAAAAUUAGAAGAUACUUGAGAUGAAUGAAAAUAAAAAUACAGCAUACAAAAAAAACCAUGGGAGGAAGUUAAAGCAGCAUUAGAGCUAAAUUUAUAGCAAUAAAUGCUUAUUUCUUUAAAAAAUAUCUCUAAUAAUCUAACCUUUCAAUUUAUGAAACUAUAAAAGAACAAAUGAAACUGAAAGCAAGCAAAAAGGAGAAAAUAAUAAAAUUUCAGUAGAAAUAAAUGAAAUAAAAAAUAAAAUACAUAAAGCAACAGUUGGUUCUUGAACAAAAUUGACAAAUCUUUAGCGAAACUUUAGCAAAAAAGAAGGAGGACUCAAAUUACUCACAUCAGGCAAGAAAGAAGAAACUUGACUACUAACUUUACAGAUAAAAAGAAUUCAAGGGGGAUAAAACGUAAAAAAAAAAAACCUCUAUUGCUAACAAAUUAAAUAAACUAUAUGAUAUGGACAAAUCCCUAGAAAGACACAAAUUAUUGAAACUAACUCAAGAAAUAGAAAAUCUAAAUAGACCUAUAACAGGUAAAAAGAUUGAAUUAGUAAAUAAAAACUUCCCACAAAGAAAGAUUCAGGCCUAGAUGGCUUCCACUGGUAAAUUCUCCCAAAUAUUUAAAGAAGAAUUAAUACCAAUUGUUUAUAAACUCUUUUAGAAAAUAGAAGAAAGGGGAACUCAUUCUAUGAGUUCACUAUUACCCUGAUACCAAUGCCAGACAAAGGCAUGAGAAAAAGAGAACUGCACACCUUUAUGCAUCCCUAUCCUUUAUGAAUAUAGAUGCAAAACUCCAAGAUGAAUCCUGAAACAAAUAAAAAAUUGUACCACAACUAAGAAAGAUUUCUUCCAAGAAUUCAAGAUUGGUUUAACAUCUGAAAAUCAAUUUAUAUAAUAUGCCACAACAAUAAAGAAAAAAAUCACAAUUACUUCAAUAGAUGCAUAAAAUAAUGGAUAAACUCCAACACUCAUGAUUAAACAAAAAAAGAAGAAAACGCUUAAACCAGGAACAAAAAUUAACUUCCUCAAACUACCAGAAACUUACAGCUAACAUCAUACUAAAUUGUAAAGAAUCAAAUGGUCUUCUUUCACUCUCAGAUGUGAAAAUCUCCUAUGUAGAAAAUCCCAAGGUAUCGACAAAAAACAAAAAAAAAAGCUAUUAGAACUAAUAAAUGGGUUCAGCAAGUUUGCUGGAUACAAGAUCAGUAUAGAAAAAUCGAUUGCAUUUCUAUAUAUUAACAAUGAAAAACCAAAAUAAAAUUAAGAAAAUUCUAUUUAUAAAUAACAUCAAAAGGAAUAAAAUUUUUAGGAAUAGAUUUAACAAUUUAAGUAUAAAAUGUAUAUGCUAAAAACUACAAAACACUGUUGAGUGAUACUGAAGAUUAAAAUAAAUGGAAAGAUACACCAUGCUUAUGAAUUGGAGGAUUUAAUAUCGUUAAGAUGGCAAUACUUCCCAUAUUAAUGUACAAACUUAAUGCAAUUCUUAACAAAACUCUUCUGGUGUUUUUACAGAAAUUCACAAGGUGACCCUAACAUGUAUAUAAAAAUGCAAGGGAUCCAGAAUCACUAUAACAAUCUUGAAAAAGAAUAACAAAGUUGAUGGAUUCACACUUCCCAAUUCCAGAACAUACUACAAAGCGACAGUAAUCAUAAUGGUGUGGUACUGGUAUAGGGAUAAACAUAUUAAUCAACAGAAUAGAAUUAAGAGUCCAGUAAAUCCUCACAUUUAUGUUCAAUCGAUUUUCAGUAAAUAGGCAAGACAAUUCAGUGGGCAAAGAAUAAUCUUUAACAAAUAGUGCUGGACAACUGAAUAUCACAUGCAAAAGAAUGAAUUUGCACCCUGACUUCACAAUAGACACAAAUUAACUCAAAGUGUAUUAUAGAUCUAAAUGUAAGAGCUAAAUUACAAAACUCUUUUCAAAACAACUACAAAAUUCAAUCUUCAUGAUCUCGGAUUAGGGAAUGACUCUUCAAAUUAGACACCUAAAGCACAGGUGAUAAAAGAUGGCUAGGUUGGACUUCAUCAAAAUCAAAAACUUUUCUGCUUCAAGGGAUAUUUUUAAGAAAGUAAAAAGAUAACCCUACAGACUGAGAGAAAAAUUUUGAAAAUUGCAUAUUUAGUAAGAUACUUACACCCAAAAUAUAUACAGAACUCUUACAACUCAAUAAAGACAAACAGCCCAUUUUUUUCCAUGAGCAAAUGAUUUAAAUAGAAAUUUCUCCAAAGAAGACAUAUGAAUGGCCAACCAAUAAGCACGUGAAAAAUGUCAAUAUCAAUAGCUAUCAGGGAAAUGCAAAUCAAAAUCACAAAGAAACCAGGGCAGAGUGCCAGAUGCUCCGUACCUUGAAAAGGUUCAAGGAAACUUGAAAGAUCAGAUGACAUUUUUAGUGUAAUCUACAAGUCACUCUUCAAAUGACUUGAAGAUGACUACCUGAAUAUAUACAAUAAAAGUUGGAAAUAUUCAUAGAUAAUAUAAAAUUGAGACAAAAAAGGUCUAGAAAGACUGCAAUGUCAAGAUAUGUAUCAUCAAUUCCUGUACGCUACAGUUAAAUUUUGUUCUGAGUUUUCUGGUGCCAAGAAAAUAGGAAAGGGGUGGGCAAUACAGUAAGAUACAAAGAAAGCUUUUAUUUCAUGACACUUAAUUCUAAAAGAAUAAUCAGGUGAUAUGAAGCCAAUUUCUACAGAUAUGGUCUCUGUCCUCCAAGAGCUCAUAACUCAGAGAAAAAUAAAUAUGCAAAUGAUUAAAAUCAGUGAGGUAACUGCUAUGAAGGACGUAUGUACAAGCUAUACUGGAGGCAUAAGAGAGAGAGUUACCAUUCAGAUGAGGUGGACUCAUGCUCUGAUGUGGUAACAUAUGAGGUAGAUUGGGUAGGAAGGUAAGGCCAGUAGAGGGUGGGAGAACAUUCCAAGCAUCUGCAGAGAUUAAAAUUACCUAAGACGUUUGAGAAAUUGUAAGUGGUCUGAUAUGGCUGCAGUACUGGAUGUGAAGAUAAAAUUAAUGAUAGCUGAGGGUGGCAGGAAAGCUGGGAUCUUGCCAUGUAUAGCCUUAUAUGUCAUGCCAAGGACUUUGGACUUUAACCUGUAGGCAAGGGGAACCAUUGACUGGCAAGCCCUGAGUAGAGAGUCUAGGCCUUAUAAUGGGAAGUUAGUUUCCAGAGAUAACCUAAAGAAUUCCUGCCUUUAGGUUUAAUUCCAAAAGGGUAGUAAUCCACAACCUAGCACUCCAUAACAGUGAUUUAUAUUGGAAUUACUCUCCAAAUUGGAAGAUAUGGUUAAUCUGGGAUUAUAGGACGUGUAAGCUCAAAGUAAUUUCCAUUGUAACUCGUAUAGCUUUCUACUCAGCCCAUGACAUUCCUACCUGGUUCCAGUUCUUGCAAUUCAAAGAGAACAGGUCAAUGUCAGUGUUAACAUGUGGGUAUGAAAACAGCAAGUACCCGCAUAUGAAUUGGAACUGGGCUCACUGAAGAAAGCAUGUAAUUGGAGUGGGAAUAAAAGCAUCCAACUAUUAUACUUGUGUGUGUACACACACACAUUAGAUAUACUGCUACAGAUAUAGAUAGAUGCCAGGUGUGCUGGUCACUUUGCGAAUCUCAUCACACUUUACCUUCAUGACAAUCCAGAAAGGUAAGUACUAAUCCCACUUCACAGAUCAAGACUAUUCUUACUUACAGAAGUUAACAGUGCUCUCUCACUGGCUGGAUUGGCAUGGAUGCCUAUUUUUGAUAGUAUUUCUAAUCCUUACCACUGAAAGCAUUGGAAUGACACUUCAUGUAUUUUUUUCAGUAGAGAAGUAAUAGAAACUAUUCCCCUUAAAUGGCAGAUGUGAUAUCUCAAGCACAAAAGCUUGGGUGACUCACUCAAGUCAAUAACAACUGUAGGACAGGAGCAUUUCCAGUUGGCCCCGUAUUCCUUCUACUUAGUCUUUUUUGUUCUCAUGUAAAUACAAAGUCAUAAAUUUGUGGGGGUUCAUAUUGGCUUUGUUCCUUUUCCCAUCUAGUUACCACAAGAGACCUUUCACUCUCCCUAGUGACACCAUUCAACCUCUACAUAACCCUACAACAAAUACCCACUUCACUACCAUAUCACAUGGCCAGACCAGUGGUCUUUUCCUUUAAUGUUACAUAGAAUAAUAUUAUUUCUCCAUCAAUUAACUCUGAUUGGAAUCAUGAUUAUCACUAGUUUUAUUCUUCAGGCUUGAUAGAGUACCAGCUGUGUCCAACAAAUGUAACAACAGUGGCUUCCAGCCAAGUGCAACUGAGGUUUUUACAAGAAUAGAUACUUCGUGUAUUCUAAUGACAAAAGCACAUAAAUGAGGACUAAUAUUCUGUCUGUGGCAGAGAGAAAAUCCUCUUGACUUUGAAGAGGUUCAAAGGCCCACACACACAGAAAACUGAGUGCUCUGUCAUGCUAUCUGGAUCAAGGGACUCCCCCAAGGGGCCGGCAUCCCGGCCUUAGAAAGAUGUCUGGGCCCUCAUCACUGAGGCCUUUGAAACCUUGUACCAGAAACCCCCAGGGGUGCCUCUCCAGCCUGCUCCCCUGGAACUUCUCAGGUACCCAUGACACAGCCAGAUAACCAGCCAGUUGUCACCUACCAUCUAGGACAGUCUCUUACUCCUACCUGUCCAUGCAUGCUCACUAAACUUGCCCUGCAGCAGAAGUAUGAAUGACUCUUUAUUAAAAUAGACAGGAAAAACAAUAGUGUCUCAUCUCACACCUGCACUAGGAAAAAAUCCUCUGUCUUCCUCUCUCCCUUCUGGGCCCACUCCCUCCAAGUCAUCUCAGAGCUGCUGCCAGCAGCAUGUAAAAUAUGAAUCUGACUUUUUGACCCAUCUGAUUAAAAACUGAAGUUGGAGCACCUCUGGCAGCAGAUUGAAGUCCAAACCCCUUCAAAAAGUAUUCAAGGGCCUUCACAACCUGAUUUCAACAAUAUCCUGAACAGUUUUCCCAUACACUGGAGCUCUGGCCUUCCCAGGUAACUCACUACCCCCUGAAGAUGUUGUACAUUUUCAUUAUAUAUGAUUUUUGUUACUAUUCAAUUUAUCUAGAAUACAUCACAUCCCCUAUCUCACCUCACUCACCUGACAAACUCCCAAUCAUUCUUUGAGAACUAGCUAAAAUGUUCUCACCCCUCUAAUGCUUUCCCUGACCAUCCCAGGCCAAAUUAACCAGUCCUUCCUCUGUGACUCUGCCUAUUGCACUUAUUCUGAUUUUCCCAGCUCAACAGAUGACAGAGCCAAGACUCAAACCCUGGCCUUCUGACUCCAAGUUCUAAGGUCUUUACUUAACCCCUUGCCUACUGUGCAAUAUUACAAAUGGAAUCAUGCGUCAAUUCUGAAUCCCGACUGGCAGGCCAAUUGUGGGUAGUCAGUAAACUUACAGUGGAUGAAUGAAUGAACAACAACCUGAAGGAAGCUUCUACUAUCCCCACCCACCCCCCACCACACACACACACACACACACACACACACACACACAGAGUUUAUUCUUCGAACUGGAAUUUGUAAAGACAGCUUGGUUUCCCAGAUGCAUCCAACUCAUCAGGUACUACAAAUUCUGUAACCAGGCCCCAAUUUAGGGAUACUACAACUAUGCAUCAUGUAAUCAUGUAGGUCCUCCAGUGAUACUCAUCUUGCUCAUUUGGCCAUGGAUAAAGGAGAAAAGAGAGAGAAGUUCCCUUUCAGCACCCUAACACAUCUCUUAAUACAGCCUCUAAGUCUUUGAGUCCUCCAGGAGCCAGCAGCCAAGUCCAAACUAAAAGCAUCACAUGUUGUUUUGGAGAAAGAAGCCAGGGUGUCCACAGUAAUAUAAAUACAGAGACAGAUAGGACGAGCAGGCCCUAUGGAGAGAGGCCAAGCCUGAGAAAGUCAAAGGGCUUUGAGCUCUGAAUUAUGCUCUGUCAAAGAAAAAAAAAAGUAGAAGAUAAAAGAGAAAGAAUAAACAAACUUCUUCAUUUUUACUUUUCACAAAAAAGUCUCUUCUGGAAGCAGCAAAUAAAAUCUUCCCAACUCACUGGGUGCUGAGUAGAGUGUUAAGACACUAGCCCUUGAAGGAAGAAUGAAUAAGCAAUUCAAAGUGGGCUUUUCUGCCCUAGGCUAAAUCUGAAAUCAUCCAUUUUGCCAGCAGUAUUCUGUCUGCCAACCUACCUGCAAAGAAAGGGGCCAUUUAAAACUUCACAUCCACCCGAGAUGGCUGUUGUACAAAACACACACUCACAGGCUCCCCUCAAAGCCUAGUAAGGAAGAAGGAAGAAGGAAAAAGCAAAGGAAAUAUCUGGCAGCUCCUAGACUUUAGGAAUUCCACAAACAAAGCCAUUGCCAACAUCUAUUUGACAGGAUGUAUAGAGAGUUCAUAAAGUAAGUGUUUAUAGAAAUUCCAAAAUGUUUAAAACUAUCUCUUGAUUUUUGAAGGUCACUGUAAUCUAGUCUAUUGGAGAAUGCUAUUGUAGAGUCUUUGGCUAUUGUUACUUAUACCUGCAUAUAUGAAAUCACCACUCCUAAAAACCACGAAUUAGAAGGCUGAUUUGUUUAAAGAAAUACUGUUGUCCAUGAUGGAAGAAGGAUGCUAACUCACAGAGAGAAUGAUGCUGCCUGUGGAACAGAGUCGGAGCUGGCUUUUAUGGAACCUAUUGUCACUUUGAUUAUACACUGUCUAGGACAGGACUGAGGCCCACAUAAUACCAAGCAUACCACAAAUACAAAAAGUGGCAUAGAGGGAAAAAGAGGUCAAAUUAAACAUCAAGGUAGCUAAAAGGAAAAUUGUGUCCGCUGCUCUAAUAUCACAAUCCCAAGGAGAACUGCAGACAUUUGUCCUCGAGUUCCUCAGGUUGCCAGUAAUGAUGUUUCUGGUGAUCUGGCUCAGAAGGCUGAGCUGAUGAGUGAUCACUCAGAAAUACUGAAUCAGGCAAUGGAAAUUCUGAAUCGGUGGGCUCUGGAGAAGGAACUGAGGGCGAGGUGACUCGGGGCCGGAGGGCUAUUAUGGACUAUGGACAAGCUGAAGGCAUGGGAAGCCUGACCAGUAGAUAGAGGAAUAUGAACUUGGUGGACAGGGAAAAGCAGGGACGUCAUGAACGAAAGACCACAGACCCUCUGUUCUAGUCCAUGGGGCCAGGCUGUGCUCCACUGCCUACUCUUGGAUUCCCCAAAGAAUGCUUUAUGUCCUUAUAAUAAAUCCACCUUUCCAUGGACAAAAAUGAGUGUGUCUCUGUGUCUUCAAACCUGAGAGCUAAAACCAAAAAACAUAACUUAUGAUGCUGUAGAAGAAACUUCUACCCCUUUGUACGCAUGGAGAUGUUUCCCAAAUCUACACAAUGAUAGAAAUAACUUGCUGCGUUAAAAAGUA
This 10101-nucleotide long non-coding RNA is filed under the name Homo sapiens (human). RNAcentral's name for it is "HSALNT0380813". The record is from RNAcentral. Lineage: Eukaryota; Metazoa; Chordata; Mammalia; Primates; Hominidae.